Molecule: ribosomal RNA, 469 nt
Filed under: uncultured bacterium
Lineage: Bacteria
Description: bacterial SSU rRNA
Rfam family: Bacterial small subunit ribosomal RNA
Source: RNAcentral
AGUCGAGCGAAGCACUUAAGUUCGAUUCUUCGGAUGAAGACUUUUGUGACUGAGCGGCGGACGGGUGAGUAACGCGUGGGUAACCUGCCUCAUACAGGGGGAUAACAGUUAGAAAUGGCUGCUAAUACCGCAUAAGACCACAGUACUGCAUGGUACAGUGGUAAAAACUCCGGUGGUAUGAGAUGGACCCGCGUCUGAUUAGGUAGUUGGUGAGGUAACGGCCCACCAAGCCGACGAUCAGUAGCCGACCUGAGAGGGUGACCGGCCACAUUGGGACUGAGACACGGCCCAGACUCCUACGGGAGGCAGCAGUGGGGAAUAUUGCACAAUGGGCGAAAGCCUGAUGCAGCGACGCCGCGUGAAGGAUGAAGUAUUUCGGUAUGUAAACUUCUAUCAGCAGGGAAGAAAAUGACGGUACCUGACUAAGAAGCCCCGGCUAACUACGUGCCAGCAGCCGCGGUAAUACGUA